AAGAAACUACUCCGCGCAUGCGCACUUUGCUCUGCAGACGUCACUGAAAUUUUCUGCGCAUGCGAACACCGGAUUUCUGGCUGCAAAUCGUUCGAAAUCAUCAGAAAUCGGGGAAAUGCAUAAGAGUAACGGGAGAUAAGGGGACACAGCGGAAAAUCUGAUAAAAUGGCUGCUUGCGUAAGUUUUAAAAAUUGAAAUGAACAGUUUUCAUUCUGUGGGGAUUUGUCUCUGCUGCCCAUGGCAUCGGAAUCCAUGCUCCCUGAGCAAGUCAAGCCCAGACAAGCUAAAGGACGAAGGCAGAUCCAACGGGAAAAAUCCCUAACCAGUGAGUUGGAGGGUGAUGGCACUUUUGUCUUUGAGGCUGAUGAGGCAUGGAAGGAGUUUCAUAAUUCACUUCUCCGUUUUUAUGAAGUGGGGGAACUAUGUGACGUCACACUUAAGGUUGGUUCUAAGCUGAUACCAUGCCACAAACUAGUACUGGCCUGUGUGAUCCCUUAUUUUCGUGCCAUGUUCCUGUCAGAUAUGGCAGAAACCAAACAGACACUCAUUGAGAUACAAGAUUUUGACGGUAAUGCUAUAGAAGACCUGGUUAAAUUUUCUUACUCCUCCCGUGUGACCUUGACAGUAGACAACGUCCAGCCUCUCCUUUAUGCUGCAUGCAUCCUUCAAGUGGAACUGGUUGCUAAGGCUUGUUGUGAGUACAUGAAGCUGCAUUUCCACCCAUCCAACUGCCUGGCUGUUAGAGCUUUUGCAGAGAGCCACAAUCGUGUUGACUUGAUGGACAUGGCUGACCGAUAUGCAUGUGACCAUUUUACAGAGGUGGCUGAUUGUGAUGACUUUGUGAGUAUGACACCCCAGCACCUUUACAAACUGCUGUCUUCUGGAGACCUUAAUAUUGAGAAUGAAAAGCAGGUUUACAAUGCAGCUAUCAAGUGGCUUCAUGCCAACCCACAGCACCACACAGCAUGGCUAGAUGAAAUACUGUCCCAGGUGCGCCUACCCUUGUUACCAGUUGAGUUCCUAAUGUCAGUUGUUGCCAAAGAAGACAUAAUCAAACAGAACUUAAAAUGCAGAGAUCUUCUGGAUGAGGCAAGAAAUUAUCACCUCCAUAUGAGUAGUCGCUCUUUACCAGACUUUGAGUACACCGUUCGUACUAUCCCAAGAAAACAGACCGCAGGAGUUCUGUUUUGUGUGGGAGGACGUGGGGGCUCAGGAGAUCCGUUUCGCAGUAUUGAAUGUUACUCUGUUACCAAAAACAGCUGGUUUUUCGGACCAGAAAUGAACAGCCGGAGAAGACACGUGGGAGUAAUCUCUGUUGGAGGCAAGGUGUAUGCAGUUGGUGGACAUGAUGGAAAUGAACAUUUAGGAAGUAUGGAAUUGUUUGAUCCACUCACUAAUAAAUGGAUGAUGAAAGCAUCAAUGAACACAAAGAGGAGGGGUAUUGCACUGUCUUCUCUGGGUGGCCCUAUAUAUGCAAUUGGUGGUCUUGAUGACAAUACAUGCUUCAAUGAUGUAGAAAGAUAUGAUAUAGAAAGUGACCACUGGACUGCUGUUGCUCAAAUGAUCUCUCCUCGAGGUGGAGUUGGGUCAGUUGCCCUAAUGAGCCAUGUUUAUGCUGUGGGAGGGAAUGAUGGAGUAGCUUCACUCUCAAGUGUAGAGAGGUAUGACCCUCAUCUGGACAAAUGGAUAGAGGUCAAAGAGAUGGGCCAACGUAGAGCUGGCAAUGGUGUUAGUGAACUUCAUGGCUGCUUGUAUGUUGUAGAGCGACAACUAUGCUUACAAAGCUGUAAACAGGAUCUAGAAUCACUCCUGAGUAGGGGACGAAGGACUGCUAUAUUUUCCAACAUUAUCCAUUAUAGACUUGUUGGAAUAAUGCUGGAAUGGGUUUCUGUCUGGCCAACUAAUAAGAAAAACACUUAACUGCACCAUGCAUGGGAAGAAUCGCACAAAUCUUAAAGCGGGAAUAGCCUGAUUUUCAAAGAUUGGCAUACCAAAGGCUUACAAAACAUUACAGACGUGGUCACCCCUACUACCAUAAUCCAACCCAUUUCGGCCUUGCUCCAAAAAUACCCAUUUUUGCAGCUCCAUCAGUUUUCCCUGAUCCAACUCUUACAUUUCGCUACACAACAACUGGCCAAACUCACGGACAGAGAUAAAAACAAUCCAAUUGAUUCCCUUUGGCUGAAACGUGAUACUAUUAAAUCCACCGCACACAUCUACAAACAGAUUAGGACUAAUAUCGAUCCUGAUACCACUACUAUGGCCUUUACAAAAUGGAAAUCAAUCAUCCCACAAGCCGAGAAUGUGGAUGUUCUCCGAUACCACACGCGCCUGAUGCAAAUUUUGCCUGCUAGCACUUAUCAGGAAAUGUCCCUGCAAUUAUUGCACCACACUUACCUGACGCCUUUGAAAAGAUUUCAUAUAGGUGCAACACACUCAGACAGCUGUCUGAAAUGCGAAACUCCUAGAGCUGAUAUGAUACAUUGUCUAUGGUCCUGCCCACUCAUACAACAGUUUUGGAAGGAGGUCGCCAGCUAUUGGGAAACCCUAUCUGGGAAAUCUAUAACCAUUAACGCCACUUGGGCUAUAUUUAGCAAACUUCACUCUACCCCACAUAUCUCCAAGCCGGAGAGGGCCCUGGCGGAACGACUUGCGGCGGCAGCUAGAAAGACUAUUUUACAUACCUGGCUGUCCCGCCUUCCUCCGCCAAUCUCUUUGGUGCGACAGAAACUGCAAUACCUCUUCCACUUAGACUGGAUAGAGACCCUAACAAACAAAGAAAAAAACACUGAACAAUUUUUUGACACCUGGAUGUCUUACAUAAACACCUUCACACCACUUACAAGAUCACUCACUCUUCAAAUUUUUCAAAACACCACGUGGUACGAAAGGGAGCUGCUGUUGGGGGCCGAUCCUGUCUGUGAGGCGGAUCACCUGUUGCGAUCCGUGGGUAAUUCGCAACAAUCACCUACGACGGGAACCCCCAGGAGUCAUCAUCUUAACCAGCUGUUUACUUCCACUAUAUCACGAUUAUAAUCCUCCCACGUGCUAACCCAUUGUCUACAAACAGUACUAUCGGGGCUUUGAUGACAAUUCUCCACUGAGUUCUGUAGAACGAUAUGAUCCUCGCAUGAACAAGUGGGAUUAUGUUUCAGAGCUUACUACCCCUAGGGGUGGUGUUGGCAUAGCAACAUUAAUGGGAAAAAUAUAUGCAGU
Xenopus laevis (African clawed frog) is the source of this 3216-nucleotide RNA transcript. It is a transcript of the gene named kelch like family member 8 L homeolog, with no coding region annotated. The record is from RefSeq and is a predicted model, not a curated record. NCBI's taxonomy places the organism in Eukaryota, Metazoa, Chordata, Amphibia, Anura, Pipidae. The transcript has 10 exons.